GCCCGACGUGCAGUUGUCCUGUGUGGUAGAGCGAAUGAUUAGCGUUUUCGGGGGAAUUUAUUCCUUCGGGCGAUUCUCAAACUUCUAAUGCGCAGGAUGAUGUUGCUGUUUUGUUUUAAGCAGUUUCGUUAGAAACGUCGGGUUUGUGGGCCACUUUUGGUAAGCAGAACUGGCGAUACGGGAUGAACCGUAAGUAUGGUUAAGGCGCCAAAUUGACCGCUCAUAGGUCCCACAAAAGGUGUUGAUUCAUCGAGACAGCAGGACGGUGGCCAUGGAAGUCGGAAUCCGCUAAGGAGUGUGUAACAACUCACCUGCCGAAUGAAUUAGCCCUGAAAAUGGAUGGCACUAAAGCGGUCAGCCGACACCAUACCAUCCAGCCAAGAGUGGUGCUGAGAUGAGUAGGAGGGCAUCCCGGUUGUAUCGAAGCGUAGGGGCAACUUUGCGUGGAACGGCCGGAAGUGCAGAUCUUGGUGGUAGUAGCAAAUAUUCAUGUGUGAUCCUUGAAGGGCGAAGCGGGGAAGGGUUCCACGCGAACAUUGGUUGAGCGUGGGUGAGUCGUUCCUAAGCCGGGCGUUUAUUGUGCAAAAACCGGCGAAAGGGAAGCAGGUUGACAUUCCUGCACACGGAUGUGGAGGCGGUGACGCUCCAACUGGCAAGGUGACGUUGGCGAUGGCCCUGGGCAGAGUUGUCUUUUCUGUUUAACCGUCCCGUAUGCUCUGUGGAAUCCGCUUGUCGGGAGAAACAGGCAUACUCGGGCAAAGCGCCGGUGUAUUACCGGCGUCCAGAUCGCCACCGACAGCCCCUGAAAAACCUUGUGCUGGGCAAAGUUUACUUUUGCGACUNUGUUUGGGUUCCACGCCGUAACGUACCUAUAACCGCAUCAGGUC
Molecule: ribosomal RNA, 887 nt
Filed under: Seirospora viridis
Lineage: Eukaryota; Rhodophyta; Florideophyceae; Ceramiales; Callithamniaceae
Description: eukaryotic LSU rRNA
Rfam family: Eukaryotic large subunit ribosomal RNA
Source: RNAcentral